RNAcentral lists this ribosomal RNA (420 nucleotides) under Phaeodactylum tricornutum. Its description in RNAcentral is "SSU rRNA". It matches the Rfam family "Eukaryotic small subunit ribosomal RNA", at positions 567 to 990 of the family's 1831-position model. Lineage: Eukaryota; Bacillariophyta; Bacillariophyceae; Surirellales; Neidiaceae. The record is from RNAcentral.
CCAGCAGCCGCGGUAAUUCCAGCUCCAAUAGCGUAUAUUAAUGUUGCUGCAGUUAAAAAGCUCGUAGUUGGAUUUGUGGUGGGCCCGGUGGCUCGGCCUUAGUUGGCCGUUGCUGUUUUGGGUCCGCCAUCCUUGGGUGGAAUCAGUGUGGCAUUAAGUUGUCGCGCUGGGGAUGCCCAUCGUUUACUGUGAAAAAAUUAGAGUGUUCAAAGCAGGCUUACGCCGUUGAAUAUAUUAGCAUGGAAUAAUGAGAUAGGACCUUGGUACUAUUUUGUUGGUUUGCGCACCGAGGUAAUGAUUAAUAGGGACAGUUGGGGGUAUUCGUAUUCCAUUGUCAGAGGUGAAAUUCUUGGAUUUCUGGAAGACGAACUACUGCGAAAGCAUUUACCAAGGAUGUUUUCAUUAAUCAAGAACGAAAGU